This 433-nucleotide ribosomal RNA is filed under the name Triticum aestivum (bread wheat). RNAcentral describes it as "partial small subunit ribosomal RNA". Lineage: Eukaryota; Viridiplantae; Streptophyta; Magnoliopsida; Poales; Poaceae. The record is from RNAcentral.
CUGCGACACACCUCUCUCUCUCUUAUCCUUUUCUCCGUUCCCCACCCUCGCGCAUGGGACAGAGGGAGAGAGCUCUUGCGAAGACGGCCAGGCGGUCGGCGACGAGCCAGUCGGCGAUAAGAUGACCUGCGCCGUACCCAAGUGUGCGAUGCCUGGGAGAGGAGGCGUAGGCGGCGGAGACGAGGAGCGGGAGGAGGCAUGCGGCGAUGCCGUGAUUCGAAUCUUCGACGGUGGCGGACGGAGGCAGUACUCGGCGACGAUGCUGGUGCGCAGCGCCGUGUUGGCGGUGGCGGAGAUAGCCUAGCGCGCGUGGUGGUUGCCGGUCACCGUGGCCGAGGUGCUGGGCGGUGGAGAUUUGUGGGCUCGUCGUCCCCGCCGGCCGUCGCGCCGCCGCCGGUCUAAUAGGCCGCCUCCCGCGUGCCCUCCACUUGAA